RNAcentral lists this ribosomal RNA (301 nucleotides) under uncultured bacterium. Its description in RNAcentral is "partial 16S ribosomal RNA". It matches the Rfam family "Bacterial small subunit ribosomal RNA", at positions 509 to 807 of the family's 1533-position model. The record is from RNAcentral.
CAGCCGCCACGGGAACACGUAGGGUGCGAGCGUUAAUCGGAAUUACUGGGCGUAAAGCGUGCGCAGGCGGUUCGUUAAGACAGAUGUGAAAUCCCCGGGCUUAACCUGGGAAUGGCGCUUGUGACUGCAAAGCUAGAGUGCGGCAGAGGGGGAUGGAAUUCCGCGUGUAGCAGUGAAAUGCGUAGAUAUGCGGAGGAACACCGAUGGCGAAGGCAAUCCCCUGGGCCCGCACUGACGCUCAUGCACGAAAGCGUGGGGAGCAAACAGGAUUAGAUACCCGCGUAGUCCCUGUCUCUUAUAC